CGUGGCACGAGGCAUGAAGGUACGGGACAUUCCGGACGAUUCCGGAGAGGGAGCCUGAGAACGGCUACCACAUCUAAGGAAGGCAGCAGGCGCGCAAAUUACCCAAUCCUAAUACAGGGAGGUAGUGACAAGAAAUAACAAUACAGGACUUUUUGGUUUUGUAAUUGGAAUGAGUUAAGUAUAAACCCCUUUACAAGUAUCAAUUGGAGGGCAAGUCUGGUGCCAGCAGCCGCGGUAAUUCCAGCUCCAAUAGCGUAUAUUAAAGUUGUUGCAGUUAAAAAGCUCGUAGUUGGAUUUCUGUUAAUAAUUUAUAUAAAAUAUUUUGAUGAAUAUUUAUAUAAUAUUAACAUAAUUCAUAUUACUAUAUAUUUUAGUAUAUGAAAUUUUACUUUGAGAAAAUUAGAGUGCUUAAAGCAGGCAUAUGCCUUGAAUACUCCAGCAUGGAAUAAUAUUAAAGAUUUUUAUCUUUCUUAUUGGUUCUAAGAUAAGAAUAAUGAUUAAUAGGGACAGUUGGGGGCAUUUGUAUUUAACAGUCAGAGGUGAUUUCUUUAGAA
RNAcentral lists this ribosomal RNA (554 nucleotides) under Cryptosporidium parvum. Its description in RNAcentral is "SSU rRNA". It matches the Rfam family "Eukaryotic small subunit ribosomal RNA", at positions 338 to 925 of the family's 1831-position model. The record is from RNAcentral. Lineage: Eukaryota; Apicomplexa; Conoidasida; Eucoccidiorida; Cryptosporidiidae.